This 188-nucleotide unclassified non-coding RNA is filed under the name soil metagenome. Its description in RNAcentral is "partial contains 5.8S ribosomal RNA, internal transcribed spacer 2, and large subunit ribosomal RNA". The record is from RNAcentral.
AAGACUAUAGACCUGCGGAGUACCUGCGGAGGGAUCAUUACUGAGUGGUCUGCUCAACACCCCGAACCUAUCCUUGUUGCUUCGGCGGGUGCUCCCCUGUGGGCGCCCGCCAGAGGCCUGUCUGCUCCUGUAUUUUUAGUGGCACUCUGAGGUUGGCGAAUCGUUAAAACUUUUAACAACGGAUCUCU